AAUCCGUGUUGUUUGCAUGGACGAAGUAAACCCUUGUAUCGUUCCCAAUCCUCUUAAUAGCAUUCUGAGUCCAUUUGCUGAAAAGUAGUGAUCUCAUCCCUUAGUUU
RNAcentral lists this small nucleolar RNA (107 nucleotides) under Olea europaea subsp. europaea. Its description in RNAcentral is "Plant small nucleolar RNA R71". It matches the Rfam family "Plant small nucleolar RNA R71". From Rfam's summary of the family: R71 is a member of the C/D box family of snoRNAs containing the C (UGAUGA) and D (CUGA) box motifs. Multiple nearly identical copies of this snoRNA have been identified in Arabidopsis, and it is thought to function as a 2'-O-ribose methylation guide for 18S ribosomal RNA. The record is from Rfam by way of RNAcentral. Lineage: Eukaryota; Viridiplantae; Streptophyta; Magnoliopsida; Lamiales; Oleaceae.